This 755-nucleotide ribosomal RNA is filed under the name Enterobacter bugandensis. RNAcentral describes it as "partial 23S ribosomal RNA". It matches the Rfam family "Bacterial large subunit ribosomal RNA", at positions 590 to 1345 of the family's 2925-position model. The record is from RNAcentral. Lineage: Bacteria; Pseudomonadati; Pseudomonadota; Gammaproteobacteria; Enterobacterales; Enterobacteriaceae.
GGUGUGACUGCGUACCUUUUGUAUAAUGGGUCAGCGACUUAUAUUCUGUAGCAAGGUUAACCGUAUAGGGGAGCCGCAGGGAAACCGAGUCUUAACUGGGCGUUAAGUUGCAGGGUAUAGACCCGAAACCCGGUGAUCUAGCCAUGGGCAGGUUGAAGGUUGGGUAACACUAACUGGAGGACCGAACCGACUAAUGUUGAAAAAUUAGCGGAUGACCUGUGGCUGGGGGUGAAAGGCCAAUCAAACCGGGAGAUAGCUGGUUCUCCCCGAAAGCUAUUUAGGUAGCGCCUCGUGAACUCAUCUUCGGGGGUAGAGCACUGUUUCGGCUAGGGGGCCAUCCCGGCUUACCAACCCGAUGCAAACUACGAAUACCGAAGAAUGUUAUCACGGGAGACACACGGCGGGUGCUAACGUCCGUCGUGAAGAGGGAAACAACCCAGACCGCCAGCUAAGGUCCCAAAGUCAUGGUUAAGUGGGAAACGAUGUGGGAAGGCACAGACAGCCAGGAUGUUGGCUUAGAAGCAGCCAUCAUUUAAAGAAAGCGUAAUAGCUCACUGGUCGAGUCGGCCUGCGCGGAAGAUGUAACGGGGCUAAACCAUGCACCGAAGCUGCGGCAGCGACACUAUGUGUUGUUGGGUAGGGGAGCGUUCUGUAAGCCGUUGAAGGUGUGCUGUGAGGCAUGCUGGAGGUAUCAGAAGUGCGAAUGCUGACAUAAGUAACGAUAAAGCGGGUGAAAAGCCCGCUCGCCGGAAGAC